GCCCCGGUGGCGGAACUGGUAGACGCGCAGGACUUAAAAUCCUGUUUCCCGCAACGGAAGUACGGGUUCGAUUCCCGUCUGGGGCA
Molecule: transfer RNA, 86 nt
Filed under: Chitinophagaceae bacterium
Lineage: Bacteria; Pseudomonadati; Bacteroidota; Chitinophagia; Chitinophagales; Chitinophagaceae
Also listed under: 1 other name
Description: tRNA-Leu
Rfam family: tRNA
About the family: Transfer RNA (tRNA) molecules are approximately 80 nucleotides in length. Their secondary structure includes four short double-helical elements and three loops (D, anti-codon, and T loops).
Source: RNAcentral